Molecule: non-coding RNA, 786 nt
Organism: Paramuricea clavata
Lineage: Eukaryota; Metazoa; Cnidaria; Anthozoa; Malacalcyonacea; Plexauridae
Source: the annotation of a GenBank genome assembly
CUCGGUGUCAGUACAAUUUGUCGUCAUUCCGAUGUAGGGAUCUAUUCCAUGACUUGCAGCAAGUGGUUCAUAUGUUUUAGGAAUUGCACACCAAUUCUCGAAUGAUUUUUUCCCAUGCCCUUCAUAAUAUACAGAUAAACCUCCCCAAGAGGUCUGGGUUAUAGGACGAAUACAAGCUUCCCCGUCUAAAACUCUUUCAUUAGCGAAAAGAUAAAACAUAUCAAGCCGAUACCCAGAAUACUUAUAUGCAGGAUGAAGACAUCCUGUUCUGUUCAAAUUUAACAUGGCACCACUAUCACGGAACCGAAACUGAGCAGCUGGAUUCAGAGAGUUGUUGGAAAGUUCUAGAAAAUAAAUGCUUCCCCAUCCCCCUUUUCUUAUUAUUAUAUUUGUGUCAACAAUACACAUCCCUGUCUGUAUGUGUUUCACAAAAAAACCAGCAGCAUCUGAAAAAAUAAUAAAAAUAUAGAAAUUUGAAUGCACUCUUUUAUUGUUCGUGCUGUAUUUUUAUGAUAUUCAAUAUGACAAUGUAAGUCGCGGUAGUUAUUAUGUGUGUCAAAAUAACUUUCCCACGAUAAGCACGGCAAUACUGCGGAAAUAUUUAAAAGCAUAUGAAAUAUAAGUGCAUGAUAUUUAAACGACUGAAAACUAACCUUGUAGCAGCAGGAGAGUCACAAUGAAUAUUACCAAAUGAAAACAUUUUAAAAACAUUUUUUAAUUGAGUCAACACCUCGAUUUUGUUGAGCAAAGUUAUAAAUCGAGAUACGUUAUAAGAGCGGAGGACGA